Fukomys damarensis (Damara mole-rat) is the source of this 118-nucleotide unclassified non-coding RNA. NCBI's taxonomy places the organism in Eukaryota, Metazoa, Chordata, Mammalia, Rodentia, Bathyergidae. The record is from Ensembl.
UGAAAUGGAGGAGAAAUUACAGCAAUUUAUCAAGGGAAAUUACAGGUGUAGACACAUGUCAGCAGUGGAAACAGGUUCCUUUCAACUUUAAGUAUUUGGAGAUUUUCCUCAAAUUCCA